GUGGGGAAUAUUGGACAAUGGGCGAAAGCCUGAUCCAGCAAUUCCGCGUGUGUGAAGAAGGCCUUCGGGUUGUAAAGCACUUUAGUGAGGGAAGAAACAGCUUGGCCACACCAAGCCUUGACGGUACCUCAAGAAUAAGCACCGGCUAACUCUGUGCCAGCAGCCGCGGUAAUACAGAGGGUGCAAGCGUUAAUCGGAUUUACUGGGCGUAAAGGGUGCGUAGGUGGUUGUAUAAGUCGGAUGUGAAAGCCCGGGGCUUAACCUCGGAACUGCAUUCGAUACUGUAUGACUAGAGUUCGGUAGAGGGCGGCGGAAUUUCCGGUGUAGCGGUGAAAUGCGUAGAUAUCGGAAGGAACAUCAAUGGCGAAGGCAGCCGCCUGGGCCUGAACUGACACUGAGGCACGAAAGCGUGGGUAGCAA
This 420-nucleotide ribosomal RNA is filed under the name uncultured Sinobacteraceae bacterium. Its description in RNAcentral is "bacterial SSU rRNA". It matches the Rfam family "Bacterial small subunit ribosomal RNA", at positions 354 to 771 of the family's 1533-position model. Lineage: Bacteria; Pseudomonadati; Pseudomonadota; Gammaproteobacteria; Nevskiales; Nevskiaceae. The record is from RNAcentral.